CCGAUGUCUCCUUGGUAUGGUGCAAACCAAACCGCAACGCCGGCGCCUUCCUACACAACUUACGCAACGACCAGUUCCUGCACCGAGGUCUUCAAGUACUACACCACUAAAGCACUGGAGUUUUAUACCACAACUUACGCUGCCCCGAGGCACUACACUGACGCCCUGAAGUAUAACUCUGCCCCGAAGUAUAUCUCUGCCCCCAGUUACUACACCAUCUAGGCGACGGAGUACUACAUGACUACGCAUGCUGCCUGGAGUUACUACACCACCAAGGCGACGGAGUACUACAUGACUACGUAUGCUGCCCAUCCUACUACACCGAGGCUCCUAAGUUCCCACUUAUUACUCCACCAAAACGGUCGAAUACUACACCGAAGCGCCAAAGUACUACUCUGCCCCGAUCUACACAACCACAACUGAGGCGGCCAAGUAUUACGCAGUCCCGACUUACUUCACAGAAGCUGCUCUUUCGUACUACAUCGAGCGGAAAUACUACAGUGAUGCUCCAUUUUACUUCACCACGACCUACGCUACACCUAGCUACAACACCGCAGCCCCAAGUACUACACCGAAAAAGCCGCCCAUUACACAACCACAUACGCUGCCUGGUAUACCACAUCGAGGAAUUUAAGUAUUAUCCUGCUCCAAACUACUACCAUCUGAGGUUCAUAUGUAUUUCACCAGCAAUUCUCCUGACUAUGUCACCACUACUUAUGUUGCUCUGACCUAUACAUCGAAGUUCUGAAAUAUUUCUCUGGAUGUGUUGAAAGAUUGCUGAAAUACAAGAUUGAUCGAUAA
Molecule: RNA transcript, 801 nt
Organism: Daphnia pulicaria
Lineage: Eukaryota; Metazoa; Arthropoda; Branchiopoda; Diplostraca; Daphniidae
Gene name: mucin-2-like
Exons: 2
Source: RefSeq, a predicted model, not a curated record